This 496-nucleotide ribosomal RNA is filed under the name uncultured bacterium. Its description in RNAcentral is "partial 16S ribosomal RNA". It matches the Rfam family "Bacterial small subunit ribosomal RNA", at positions 29 to 507 of the family's 1533-position model. The record is from RNAcentral.
AUGAACGCUGGCGGCGUGCCUAAUCCCUGCAAGUCGCGCGCACGGACGAGAAGCUUGCUUUUCUGAUGUUAGCGGCGGACGGGUGAGUAACACGUGGAUAACCUACCUAUAAGACUGGGAUAACUUCGGGAAACCGGAGCUAAUACCGGAUAAUAUUUUGAACCGCAUGGUUCAAAAGUGAAAGACGGUCUUGCUGUCACUUAUAGAUGGAUCCGCGCUGCAUUAGCUAGUUGGUAAGGUAACGGCUUACCAAGGCAACGAUGCAUAGCCGACCUGAGAGGGUGAUCGGCCACACUGGAACUGAGACACGGUCCAGACUCCUACGGGAGGCAGCAGUAGGGAAUCUUCCGCAAUGGGCGAAAGCCUGACGGAGCAACGCCGCGUGAGUGAUGAAGGUCUUCGGAUCGUAAAACUCUGUUAUUAGGGAAGAACAUAUGUGUAAGUAACUGUGCACAUCUUGACGGUACCUAAUCAGAAAGCCACGGCUAACUACGUG